CUUUGUUUCGGAUCUCAGAUCAAGCAAGAGGACCCGCUGA
RNAcentral lists this ribosomal RNA (40 nucleotides) under Nitzschia navis-varingica. Its description in RNAcentral is "partial large subunit ribosomal RNA". The record is from RNAcentral. Lineage: Eukaryota; Bacillariophyta; Bacillariophyceae; Bacillariales; Bacillariaceae.